This 21-nucleotide non-coding RNA is filed under the name Caenorhabditis elegans. Lineage: Eukaryota; Metazoa; Nematoda; Chromadorea; Rhabditida; Rhabditidae. The record is from RNAcentral.
UGUUAAAUUCCUUUAGGUCAA